GUGGGGAAUAUUGGGCAAUGGGGGCAACCCUGACCCAGCGACGCCGCGUGGGUGAUGAAGGCCUUUGGGUCGUAAAACUCUGUCCUUGGGGAAGAAAAAAAUGACGGUACCCUUGGAGGAAGCCCCGGCUAACUACGUGCCAGCAGCCGCGGUAAUACGUAGGGGGCGAGCGUUAUCCGGAAUUAUUGGGCGUAAAGAGUGCGUAGGUGGUUUUGUAAGCGUAGGGUGAAAGGCAGUAGCUCAACUAUUGUUAGCCCUGCGAACUGUGAGACUUGAGUGCAGGAGAGGAAAGUGGAAUUCCUAGUGUAGCGGUGAAAUGCGUAGAUAUUAGGAGGAACACCAGUGGCGAAGGCGACUUUCUGGACUGUAACUGACACUGAGGCACGAAAGCGUGGGUAGCAAACAGGAUUAGAAACCCGAGUAGUCC
RNAcentral lists this ribosomal RNA (427 nucleotides) under uncultured bacterium. Its description in RNAcentral is "partial 16S ribosomal RNA". It matches the Rfam family "Bacterial small subunit ribosomal RNA", at positions 354 to 796 of the family's 1533-position model. The record is from RNAcentral.